UGGGGAAUAUUGCACAAUGGAGGGAACUCUGAUGCAGCGACGCCGCGUGAACGAAGAAGGCUUUCGAGUCGUAAAGUUCUUUUAUAUGGGAAGAUAAUGACGGUACCAUAAGAAAAAGCCCCGGCUAACUACGUGCCAGCAGCCGCGGUAAUACGUAGGGGGCUAGCGUUGUCCGGAAUCACUGGGCGUAAAGGGUUCGCAGGCGGAAAUGCAAGUCAGGUGUAAAAGGCAGUAGCUUAACUACUGUAAGCAUUUGAAACUGCAUAUCUUGAGAAGAGUAGAGGUAAGUGGAAUUUUUAGUGUAGCGGUGAAAUGCGUAGAUAUUAAAAAGAAUACCGGUGGCGAAGGCGAUUUACUGGGCUCAUUCUGACGCUGAGGAACGAAAGCGUGGGUAGCAAACAGG
Molecule: ribosomal RNA, 403 nt
Filed under: Fusobacteriota bacterium
Lineage: Bacteria; Fusobacteriati; Fusobacteriota
Description: Fusobacteria bacterium partial 16S ribosomal RNA
Rfam family: Bacterial small subunit ribosomal RNA
Source: RNAcentral